Molecule: long non-coding RNA, 206 nt
Filed under: Glycine max (soybean)
Lineage: Eukaryota; Viridiplantae; Streptophyta; Magnoliopsida; Fabales; Fabaceae
Description: long non-coding RNA (GMAX_LNC001453)
Source: RNAcentral
UGGUUUGGUUCGUUCUUCCUCCCCAAGAUUCGUGCCUCUCUGUGCAUUAAUUCCAAGACCUUUCCCUCUUUUUUGGCUUUUAUCUUGUGCUCUUUUAUCACCUAAUGAGUUCUCUUUAAGAGUCCAAUAGGCCACAAAAUGUAUUAUUAUUUGUUUUUCUUUUACGUUUGUGUUUUUUUACUCUUUUUUUCAUUCGUUUUUUCUUC